RNAcentral lists this unclassified non-coding RNA (126 nucleotides) under uncultured Rozellomycota. RNAcentral describes it as "uncultured Cryptomycota sequence contains ITS1". Lineage: Eukaryota; Fungi; Rozellomycota. The record is from RNAcentral.
ACAAAUCCAAUAAUUGUGGGGGAACUUUUGGGUUCUUCUGCAAAUAUUAAUCCGCCGGCUUUCCAAAGCUGGCUGUGAUAUAAAUGCGUGUUAUGUUGACAAUGUGUGUGUAAUAAUUAAUAUUGA